GAAAUGCGAUAAGUAAUGUGAAUUGCAGAAUUCAGUGAAUCAUCGAAUCUCUGAACGCACAUUGCGCCCGCCAGUAUUCUGGCGGGCAUGCCUGUUCGAGCGUCAUUACAACCCUCAGGCCCCCGGGCCUGGCGUUGGGGAUCGGCGGAAGCCCCCUGCGGGCACAACGCCGUCCCCCAAAUACAGUGGCGGUCCCGCCGCAGCUUCCAUUGCGUAGUAGCUAACACCUCGCAACUGGAGAGCGGCGCGGCUACGCCGUAAAACACCCAACUUCUGAAUGUUGACCUCGAAUCAGGUAGGAAUACCCGCUGAACUUAAGC
RNAcentral lists this unclassified non-coding RNA (320 nucleotides) under plant metagenome. Its description in RNAcentral is "partial contains 5.8S ribosomal RNA, internal transcribed spacer 2, and large subunit ribosomal RNA". The stretch from base 1 to 105 matches the Rfam family "5.8S ribosomal RNA", at positions 50 to 154 of the family's 154-position model. The record is from RNAcentral.